UAAAGCAAAGAACUUCCAGUUUUUUAUUUUUAAAAAUUAUUUAACAAGGAAAACAGUCAAUCAAGAUUUUAAAAAUUAGAGUGGAUUAAUGUACAACAUAACAGUCAACUUAAAAUAUGAGCCCCUUUACUUAGAGCCACAGAGGCCAACAGUCCUCAUUGGAACAGCAGGUGUGCACAGUUGAUGUUCUGACCUUUAUUUGACAACACGGAAAUACAAAAGUCAUACAGCUUCCACCACCUCCCUUCUCUCCAGAGUUCAAUACUUGUCUAGAGCAGUACUCAGACUUUUAAAACGCAGUUGUAUUUUUAAAAAUAUCUACAACUAAUCUCAUGAGAACACUCUUAAAACAAUUCUUAUAAAAAACAAACACCUUAAAAUAAAUUUGUGGCACAUCAGACAGCUUAAAGAAAUAGCAAAAAUAAAAACUAAUGUCUAAUGUUUAAGAAUUAUCAUCUCUCUCUCUCUCUUUUUUAGAAACCACCCAGGCAAAAUUAAUUAAUUCUGCUUCUCAUAAUUAGCAGAGAUAAUUACAUGAAGCGGAAUGCACCAUUUUCUGAUCCUUGGUUAUAGCUGCCAGCUUAAGAGUUUAUGACUAAAUACAAAGGAAGAUAAGACUAAGCUCACACAUUCUGGAAUGAGGAAAACAAACAUUUCUCCUUAUAAAGUUUUUGUCUAUCUUCAUAUUCAAGUCAUGAGAAAGUUCACAGCAGUUAAAAGGCUGAUUCUACAGGUGGCUGACUAAAACCAACCACAUCCACAUCACACGUCACACACAGCAUUCCUACAGGAACACUAGGUAAACACAGUUCUGUGUUACCAACUCACACUGUUAAGUGCUGGAGCAAACAGCAUUGAACAGGCUUACACAGGUUAGGUAUCAUAGCUCUUAGAACACUUCAUUUUCAUACUUUCCAAUGUGUGAACAAAGCUUAAAAUAACUAACUAACUGCCUUAAAGGAAUAUGUUCAUUUGUGACAGCUGGCCAGGCACUUAAAUUCAGGAAGAGAGGCUUUGCGAUUUUGAGGUAAACCAGAACUCUCUUUAGUAACCACACAUUCUAAAUCCACUUUUUGAUACCACCCCAACUACUCAGCUUUUAAGUUUGUCACUGUUGGACCAAAAUCUAUACCCUGUGGGACAUAAGCUACCAAGAGCAUCUGAAGCCUCAAUUGGCUCCUUUUGUAUAUGUAUUACUGUGCUCAGAACAAACUGGACACCAACUAAAGACAUACACAUACAAAGAAUAUGGUCAAAAGAAGCCAAGAGGAGUAACUUUCUCCCUAAACGGACACUAAGUUUAAUAGACUUUUUAGGAAUGCAAACCACACUUGAAUGGUCCCAGCAUUAGCACUGAGAAGCACAGUGUAUGUUUCUUCUCUCUUCUGAAUUAGUUCCAUGGUGAUGGGGAAUUUGCCUAACAAUGAAAAUUCAUAUUAGAAAGUAAAGGAUCAGCCAGGUGCGGUGGAUCGUGCCUGUAAUUCCAGCACAAGUUUACACAAGAGGACUGACUGCUGAGAGUUUUGAUACCAGCCAGAACUACACAGCAAGGUCCUGUCACAAAGAACCCAGAGGAUUUCAGGUUUUUAGGUUUUACAAGAACAGAAGAGAAAGUGCUAUUUUGGAAUUAGUUUCAUUUUUUCAAUCAAGGUAUUCAAUUUUACUUUUUCAUCAGAAUUACUGAGCUGAGUUUAAGUAUUAUCACAAAAAACAAAACCUACUAAUGAAUUACCUGCAAAUGGAAAUACCAAGCCCUAUAUACCAAGCAUUAAUGGCAUUUUACAUUCCUUUCUCAAACAGCAAAGAAGCCCUCUUGAUUUGUACAAAUGCAUCAGCUUUUGUUAUUUGGAACACUUAUUUAUUGACAUAUUUUAAAUACUUUUAAAAAGCUAUAUAGAUUAAAGAACAGUUAGCCGAAAGGGGAGAGAGACAGAGCUUUGAACUCUGGCUUUAGUUUCCAUGUGGCUAAAAAUAAGGGUCUGAAAUUGUAAAAAUUUCUAAGCUUAUCCCACUGCACACCAAGUGUUUCCAGUCCUGGUAUAGGACCACACUUUUAUCUUGUAGCGUUAACAGCAGGCACCAGGAAAAAAUCUGUAAGUAACGGGCAGGGAGCAAAAAUGGGUGAAUUUUUUCUGUGAUGCUAUCUGGCUUGCUCAAGUUUUGAAACCAUGACCUUGGUCCAUUAGCACCAUGGUUUAUCCAACUGAAAUAAUUAUUCAAGCCCCUGUGGGAUGCCUGAACUGUUAUAGGAUGAGGCAAGGGGGAGAGUAAGAAGGGGACUAAGGGCAACUCCCCUCUCUCUUUC
This 2305-nucleotide long non-coding RNA is filed under the name Cricetulus griseus (Chinese hamster). RNAcentral's name for it is "lncRNA (ENSCGRG00015038255.1)". Lineage: Eukaryota; Metazoa; Chordata; Mammalia; Rodentia; Cricetidae. The record is from RNAcentral.